The sequence is a regulatory RNA element, 54 nucleotides long. It matches the Rfam family "L31-Gammaproteobacteria ribosomal protein leader". The record is from Rfam.
CGUGUGGUGUCCGGCAUUAGAAUCGGAUAGCGACACGGCCUAAACUAUUAAGGU